RNAcentral lists this ribosomal RNA (25 nucleotides) under Anopheles sundaicus. RNAcentral describes it as "partial 5.8S ribosomal RNA". Lineage: Eukaryota; Metazoa; Arthropoda; Insecta; Diptera; Culicidae. The record is from RNAcentral.
AAGACCGCAGCUAAAUGCGCGUCAG